Molecule: non-coding RNA, 357 nt
Organism: Camellia sinensis
Lineage: Eukaryota; Viridiplantae; Streptophyta; Magnoliopsida; Ericales; Theaceae
Source: RefSeq, a predicted model, not a curated record
GUCUUGCUAUCUAGAUGGAGAUGCAUUUUUAGCUGAUGAUGAGCGGUGCUGCAGGGAAGACACCUACACCAGGUCAGGCCGUAUACUCUGCUUCUAAAUUUGCUCUAAUUGGGUACUUUCACACUCUGCGUUCUGAGGUGCAAGCUUGGAUUUGAGGAACAUAUAUCUCUAUGCUAACAAAUUGGAACUCAACCGGUACCUUGUACAGUGGUGAACACCAACAUUGUAGAUUUUGACUUUACUAGCAUUCUAUUUGGAUUGUAAUUUUUUCAUAAAAGAACUUUUUCCAAGUUUUUAGUUGUAAUAACUUUCACAUAUGGCUCCAAUUUUGAGACUCAAAUGGAAUGCUUGAUUAAA